Molecule: ribosomal RNA, 446 nt
Filed under: uncultured bacterium
Lineage: Bacteria
Description: partial 16S ribosomal RNA
Rfam family: Bacterial small subunit ribosomal RNA
Source: RNAcentral
CUACGGGUGGCAGCAGUAGGGAAUAUUGCGCAAUGGGCGAAAGCCUGACGCGGCGACGCCGCGUGGAUGAAGAAGGCCUUCGGGUUGUAAAGUCCUGUCAGGGGGGACGAAGGCGAAAGCUGACGGUACCCCCAGAGGAAGCCCCGGCCAACUACGUGCCAGCAGCCGCGGUAAGACGUAGGGGGCGAGCGUUGCCCGGAAUCAUUGGGCGUAAAGAGCACGUAGGCGGCUUGUCAAGUCGGAUGUGAAAACCAACGGCUCAACCGUUGGACUGCAUUCGAAACUGGCAGGCUAGAGUCCAGUAGAGGAAAGUGGAAUUCCCAGUGUAGCGGUGAAAUGCGCAGAUAUUGGGAAGAACACCGGUGGCGAAGGCGGCUUUCUGGGCUGAGACUGACGCUGAGGUGCGAAAGCUAGGGGAGCAAACAGGAUUAGAUACCCGGGUAGUC